This 391-nucleotide ribosomal RNA is filed under the name Clostridioides difficile. RNAcentral's name for it is "partial 23S ribosomal RNA". It matches the Rfam family "Bacterial large subunit ribosomal RNA", at positions 837 to 1235 of the family's 2925-position model. Lineage: Bacteria; Bacillati; Bacillota; Clostridia; Peptostreptococcales; Peptostreptococcaceae. The record is from RNAcentral.
GCCCGGAGAUAGCUGGUUCUCCCCGAAAUAGCUUUAGGGCUAGCCUCAAGGUGAGAGAUACGGAGGUAGAGCACUGAAUGUCCUAGGGGGUAUUGCACCUACCGAAGACUAUCAAACUCCGAAUGCCGUCAUCUUAUACUUGGGAGUCAGACUGUGGGUGAUAAGAUUCAUAGUCGAAAGGGCAACAGCCCAGAUCGUCAGCUAAGGUCCCUAAAUGUAAGUUAAGUGGUAAAGGAUGUGGGAUUGCACAGACAACCAGGAUGUUGGCUUAGAAGCAGCCACUCAUUCAAAGAGUGCGUAAUAGCUCACUGGUCGAGUGAUCCUGCGCCGAAGAUUUCCGGGGCUAAAACUUACUACCGAAGCUACGGCAUCAGUAAUGAUGGGUAGGGGA